AACGAACGCUGGCGGCAUGCCUAACACAUGCAAGUCGAACGAGACCUUCGGGUCUAUUGGCGCACGGGUGCGUAACGCGUGGGAACCUGCCCUUAGGUUCGGAAUAACUCCCCGAAAGGGGUGCUAAUACCGGAUAAUGUCUUCGGACCAAAGAUUUAUCGCCUUUGGAUGGGCCCGCGUUGGAUUAGCUAGUUGGUAGGGUAAAAGCCUACCAAGGCGACGAUCCAUAGCUGGUCUGAGAGGAUGAUCAGCCACACUGGGACUGAGACACGGCCCAGACUCCUACGGGAGGGAGCAGUGGGGAAUAUUGGACAAUGGGCGAAAGCAUGAUACAGCAAUGCCGCGUGAGUGAUGAAGGCAUUAGGGUUGUAAAGCUCUUUUAACCGGGAUGAUAAUGACAGUACCGGGAGAAUAAGCUCCGGCUAACUACGUG
Molecule: ribosomal RNA, 433 nt
Filed under: uncultured bacterium
Lineage: Bacteria
Description: partial 16S ribosomal RNA
Rfam family: Bacterial small subunit ribosomal RNA
Source: RNAcentral